Molecule: long non-coding RNA, 484 nt
Organism: Rhinichthys klamathensis goyatoka
Lineage: Eukaryota; Metazoa; Chordata; Actinopteri; Cypriniformes; Leuciscidae
Exons: 4
Source: RefSeq, a predicted model, not a curated record
GGCAGGCCAGCAAACAGAGGUGAAGAGAAGGAAAAAAUCAGCAGGAUGAUUACAACCAUGAUUAGCUCAUUUUCCAUGGGUUCAGCUAUGCUACAAGCCCACUGUCCUCACUAAGGUCCUGUGGCUGGAGGAUAUUCCCAGGUUAAAUCCACCACCACGUCCUGCUCUCCCACCACAGUGCAUGUCACCUGGAGAUUCUGUCCCACUGCCACAGUGUCAGAGGAGGUCUGGAUCGCAGGAGACGGAGGGGCGGCUGGAUCUGCCAGGAUAUGCAGGAACAGCCCAUUGGACAGGAUUUCCUUUACACCUCAGUUCUAACGCAUCACCUGCCUGGACAGUCAACGUGUCGCCCACUUUCUGAAACCUUCCCUUGUUUACCACCUGGGUGAGAGCGCACAGGGAUCCGACCGCCACUACAUACUUUGCUGCACCCCAGCCAAUGUCAGCAAAGGCCACAGGCAGAGGACUUUGAAUGUUGAGUUGG